AAAAAAAAGACUUCCAUUUUACCUUAGAAAUAGAUUGCAGGGUUGUGAAGUGAUCAUCUAAGCUGUCCUGAAAUGCACUAUUAGUCUGGGAGAAGCGAGAUGGUAAGCAAAUUCCAGCUUAGCGGCCACAAGUCAGAGAAGUUCCAGUGACAAGUUUCACAGUCGAGUGUAACCCUCCGGGGCCGAUGGCCACAAGCCCCAUGAUGUUGCGAUCAGGCCACUCUAUCCCCGAUGAAGCCGAAGUGUUCGGCCAGGGCCGCACCAUCUAAUAUGAUUUCAGAGAAAACCCCAAGAAGUUUUAGAAAGCCCCAAACUUGUUUUCUCUCUCUCUCUUUUUUCUUUCUUUCUUUCUUUCUUUCUUUCUUUCUUUCUUUCUUUUUUUGCUUGCAAACAAGGAAAUCAUUGCUUUGGAAAGCCAGGGUCCAUUUGGUUUGUGGGUUUGUCCCCCCAAGGACUGCCGGAGAUCCCAUUUUCCACCUAAGCCUGAGCUUUACAGCUUGUGGAUUCUGUAGCUUAUUUAAGUAUAUAUACGGGAGGUGGGCAAGAGGGAGAAAUGCAUGGGAGCAAAGCUCUCCCACUUACGGUGACCAGAGGGAGGCAAUGACAGAGGGUAAGUGGGUUUGGAGGCACUUUUCAGUGGACGACAAAGAGCUUGUGCACCGAUAUUCCUCCAGGUCUAGCUCCUGAGUCCCAAGGCUGACUGCCAUCCAGCUGCGCCCUUCAUCACUUCGGGAGUAUAGGCCAUGGCAAGCUGUGGACAGCUGGUGGAGAGCCACUGAAAAAGUGUUCUGCCAUGGUUUCUGCGGUCUCCCAGAUGCCUUCGUGGAUUCCAGGCGAGGCUUUCCUCCGAUUGCUUGAGGAGAAUCAACAUCUGACCUUGGAUAACAUGAUCAAAGAUCACCAAAGAGCGGCUCCGAGGACACCCUGAGGGACACAUGAAGAUUGCUAUUAUGUUUCCUGCUACUUAAAACUUUGUAGCUUGGGAUGCCAAAGAGGAAGAAAGAAGCUUAUCUAUCCAGCUAUUCUCGAUUCUAGAGUAAUUUGCUCUUCUCAUUACUGUAUAUCAAGAAAGUAGAGAAUUCAAAGGCUGUCAUUUAUUUCACUAAUGGAAUUAAAAAUGCAUGUGGUCCAGAGCACUGAUCAAUGCCUUGCUAGUUGUGAUGGAUUAUGGUUUGGUUAGAUAGUAUGACCUUUAAUUACCUGAAAAAAUGAAAUUUUCCAAUGUCUUUGCUGUUUUUGUUGUG
Leptonychotes weddellii (Weddell seal) is the source of this 1244-nucleotide long non-coding RNA. RefSeq lists it as uncharacterized. The record is from RefSeq and is a predicted model, not a curated record. Lineage: Eukaryota; Metazoa; Chordata; Mammalia; Carnivora; Phocidae.